RNAcentral lists this ribosomal RNA (325 nucleotides) under Staphylococcus sp. RNAcentral describes it as "bacterial SSU rRNA". Lineage: Bacteria; Bacillati; Bacillota; Bacilli; Caryophanales; Staphylococcaceae. The record is from RNAcentral.
CAGCAGACUCUUCGGAUCGUAAACUCUGUUAUUAGGGAAGAACAUAUGUGUAAGUCACUGUGCACAUCUUGACGGUACCUAAUCAGAAAGCCACGGCUAACUACGUGCCAGCAGCCGCGGUAAUACGUAGGUGGCAAGCGUUAUCCGGAAUUAUUGGGCGUAAAGCGCGCGUAGGCGGUUUUUUAAGUCUGAUGUGAAAGCCCAYGGCUCAACCGUGGAGGGUCAUUGGAAACUGGAAAACUUGAGUGCAGAAGAGGAAAGUGGAAUUCCAUGUGUAGCGGUGAAAUGCGCAGAGAUAUGGAGGAACCCCAGUGGCUGCAGACGA